UGGGGGAUAUUGCACAAUGGGCGAAAGCCUGAUGCGGCGACGCCGCGUGGGGGAUGAAGGCCUUCGGGUUGUAAACUUCUUUUGCUCUGAACAAGGCAUGCUAAUGGGUGUGUUGAGUGUAGGGGUUGAUUAGCGCCGGCUAACUACGUGCCAGCAGCCGCGGUAAUACGUAGGGCGCGAGCGUUGUCCGGAAUUAUUGGGCGUAAAGGGCUUGUAGGUGGCUGGUUGCGUCUGUCGUGAAAGCUCAUGGCUUAACUGUGGGUUUGCGGUGGGUACGGGCUGGCUUGAGUGCAGUAGGGGAGGCUGGAAUUCCUGGUGUAGCGGUGGAAUGCGCAGAUAUCAGGAGGAAUACCGGUGGCGAAGGCGGGUCUCUGGGCUGUUACUGACACUGAGGAGCGAAAGCAUGGGGAGCGAACAGG
RNAcentral lists this ribosomal RNA (419 nucleotides) under bacterium. RNAcentral describes it as "partial 16S ribosomal RNA". It matches the Rfam family "Bacterial small subunit ribosomal RNA", at positions 355 to 776 of the family's 1533-position model. The record is from RNAcentral.